This 4264-nucleotide unclassified non-coding RNA is filed under the name Leishmania donovani. RNAcentral's name for it is "gene:LdHU3.07.0140(CDS-product:metallo-peptidase_ Clan_ME_Family_M16C)". The record is from RNAcentral. Lineage: Eukaryota; Euglenozoa; Kinetoplastea; Trypanosomatida; Trypanosomatidae.
CACAAGGCACGCUGCACGCGCGUGUUCAGGCGCACACAACUGUUUCUUCAUAUCACCCGCCGCUCUGCUCCGGGUGCCGGCACGCCGCUGCCCCCCUCUCGCCCGUCUUUGCUCCUCUUCUCUCGUCAGUGCCCACCGCCGUCACGGGCACGGCCACGCGCAUGCACGCACUCCUUUCAGCAUGGCCAACUCUUCAUCCCUUCUAUUCUGGUGCGCAUACCACCUCGUCGUGUCACCGCCACGUGCGUGAGCUCCCGAUUCUCUGGCUUGUCGCCGACCACCUCCUCGUCGUGCCUCUCCUCUCUAUCGAACCGGGGGCCACCGGUGCUGAUUUUGGCCGCAUGCAGCUCUACAAGCGCCCCUCCUUCUCCUCCAACAUCUCUUGCUCAUCUCUCUUCUGCUUUCCUCUUACCCCCUCCCCUCAUCCACUCCCCACCCUCUGCGAGCGCGUGUGUAUUGGGGAACUGACAUCGGCUGCCACCCUCACCAGUCAUCACUUCGUCUCGUUCCUUCAUUAGGCGACACACAGGUACGCCUACGUUCGCCUAUAGAAACCCCUCCCCACAGAGUGCACCAGCAGCUGGAGGGCGAACGCCGUGCACAACGUGUGUGCUUCUGUCAUCGUCGCCGCCGCCACUGCCGCUUCCUCUUCCAGGCCUUUGUUAUUCUCCCUUCCCAUUCGGGUGUGCUCCCUGUGACAGCUGCUCGCGUGUGUCGGUAUAUAUCGUCCUCUUCGGUAGUAUGCUGCGCAGAUCGGUACGAUGUCUGUCGCUGCGCACGAGCAGGCGCGAAGACCUCGUCUUCAGAAGCAUGCACGGCUUCACGCUGCUCAAGAUCCGGCGCAUCGAUGACCUGCACCUCGUGGCGUACGAAAUGGAGCACGUCCGCACCGGCGCUCUCUACUACCACAUCGACGUGGAGGACAAUAACAAUACCUUUUGCAUCGGCUUCCGAACACCGGCGGAGAACAACAAGGGCACCUCCCACGUGCUGGAGCACACAACACUAUGCGGCAGCAAGAAGUAUCCGGUGCGGGAUCCGUUCUUCAUGAUGCUCAAGCGCUCCCUUAGCUCUUUUAUGAACGCCAUGACCGGGUCCGACUACACGCUGUACCCCUUCUCGACUACCAAUCGCAAGGACUUCCAAAACCUUCUCGACGUCUACCUCGACGCCGUCCUCCACCCAUUGCUGCGAGAGGAGGACUUCAAGCAGGAGGGUCACCGAGUGGAACUCGAGGACAAGUCGGGGGACAGCGAAGACGCCGCUGCGCAGCCGGCGAAGCGCACUCGCCGGCUUAUCAACAACGGCGUCGUUUUCAACGAGAUGCGCGGCGUUGUGUCGGAUCCCAGCAACCACUUUGUGCACUCGCUGAUGCGCGCCAUGCUGCCGCACACACACUACACCUACAUAUCCGGCGGCUACCCGCCCGACAUUCUGGGGCUCAGCUACGACGAGCUCCUGUCCUUCCAGAGGCGCCACUACCACCCAAGCAACAGCAUCACCUUCACAUACGGCAACCUGCACCCUGAGUCGCACAUGGAAGCGUUAGACUCGUACUUCGCGGACUUCGAGCGCGCGGCGCCGGUCGUAGUGCCGACACUGGCGGACGAGCACCGUUUCACGGAGCCCCAGCUCGUGCACCUGGAGGGGCCGCUGGACGCCAUGGGCAACCCGCGGCGGCAGAAGCGAGUUGCCGUUUCCUACGCGGUACCAAAGGAAAAUAAUAAGUUGGAGGAUGUCGUGGCUCUCAGCGUGCUGGACAGCCUUCUCUCUAGCGGUCCCAGCUCCCCCAUGUUCAAGAACCUGAUCGAGUCACAGAUUGGCAGCAAGUACGCUCCGAUGCAAGGGUACGCCUUCUAUCUGUCCUCCCCGAUCAUCACCUAUGGUGUGGCUGGCAUGGAUGAGGACCGGGCAGACGCAGAGGCUGACGUGCUGCAGGCUGUGGAGUCUGCGCUCCGCACGGUGCAGAGGGACGGCUUCGACGAGCGACGCGUGCGCUCCGUUAUCUUCCAGGAGGAGCUGCAGCACCGUCACCGAUCUGCCGACUACGGGCUCAACACGUGCACAGGCCUGUGUGCGAUGGGUCUGUGCCGGGCGCAGAACAACCCGCUGGACUUCAUCAACUGGCUGCCACACCUCCGGCGGCUGGCGGACGACAAUGCGGCCUCGCUGCUGCCGCGCAUUGAGACGCACCUGCUGAGCAACCCCCACCGCGCCGUCGUGUCCGUGUCAGCCAAGAAGGAGUAUCUGAACAGGCUGCAGGACCAACUGAAGGAAGCGGAUGAGGCGGUGAACGCGUCGGCGACGGAGGCCGACAAAGACCGGGUGGAGAAGGAGACGAAGGAGGGGCUCCAACGCCUCCGCGCGCCGCAGCCGCACGACGUGCUGCCCACACUGCGCAUCGAGGACAUCCCCACCGAGUCGCUUGCGGAGCCCGUGCCGUGUCGCAGCUCUCUCUCGAGCGCCAACGGCCAGGUGUACACAAUCACGCACCAAACGAAUGGCCUCGUGUACGUGCAUGGGCUCAUCCCCUUCAACACUUCUCUUACCAGCGCCAUGGAGCACGGGGAGCUGGGGCAGGUGCCGCAGAGCGUGAUGCUGCUCGAGUCGCUGAUCGGUCGCACCGGUGCCGGAAAGCUCUCCUACAAAGAUCACUCCAUUGCAGUGAAGCUGGCGUGCAGCGGGUUCGGCUUUGAGCCGCUGCUUAACGAGUCGUACUCGCACAAGAGCACCACCAUCACCGGCACUAGCUACAGCUUCUACACCACCAAGGAAAAGCUGAAGGAGGCGCUGGACUUAUUGAGCGUGACACUGCUGGAGCCGCGCUUCAGCGCCGACGACGCCGAUGUCUACUCCCGUGCGCUGUCGAAUCUCAAGAUGGCAUGCUCGUCGGUGAUCCAGUCUCUGCAGGCAGAGGGCAACCGCUACGCCGUCAUCCGCGCCGUGGGGGAGCUCACCCGGCGCGGCGAGCUGCGCGAACACUGGUGGGGGUUGUCCCAGUCCGCGCAUGCGUCAGAGAUGCUCGAGAAGCUUCAGGGAAGCCCGGAAGUGAGCCGGGAGACCGUGAGCGCGCUGCUGGCCAACUACGCUGUCUUUGCGCAGGAGAUGGCGGCUGAUAUGUCGCGCAGUCUCGUUUGGGCGACGUGCGAGGAUGCACACCGCGAGGAGGUUGAGCGGAUGCUAAAGGAGUUCCUCGACGCGUUCCCGCGGACGGACUCUGCCGCGCGCACGCACCUGUUCCUGCCACCACGCUCCACGGAGAAGGGGGUCCAGCAGAUCAUCAAAAAGCUGCCUAUCGACACGUCCUUUGUGGGCCUGGCCAUGCCGAACAAGUUGAAGUGGGAGAGUCCCGACCAGGCACGGGUGCGGGUGGGCUGCACCCUGCUCUGCAACGAGUACUUGCACCGCCGUGUGCGAGAGGAGGGUGGCGCGUACGGCUCCAACUGCACCGCCACGCUCCACGGCGAGGUGGGCGGCGUCUCGAUGUCAAGCUACCGCGACCCCAGCCCGGAGCUCACCGCCAAAGCCUUCCUCGAGGCUGGCGAUUGGCUCAGCGACCGGAAGAACGUCACGGCGGAGCGCGUAAGCGAGGCGAAGCUGCGCCUCUUCUCCUCCAUCGACUCCCCGUAUGCGGCGGACUCGUACGGUGAGGCAUACUUCUAUAAUGAUCUGCGGCAGGACACGAAGCAGGCCUUGCGCGAUGCCCUGCUUUCCGUGACAGCAGAGGACGUUGUGAAUGUGGCCCACUACUUCACGCCUCAAUCCACCACCAUCAUCAGCAUUCUCCGACCCGCCGGCGAGUCGAGCGAUCCGGCCGCGGUGUCACCCGAGGUCUCGUAGAGCUGCCUGAUCGUGUGUGUGUGUGUGUGUGUGUGUGUGCUCUAAAGCAGAGGUGCCGAGCUGCGCCUCUCUCCCGUUUGAGCGAAGCGUGUGUGCAACCCCUAAUCCGAUGUUUCUUUGUCGUGUGAAGCCUUCAAGCAGAGAGGGUGUCGUGAGUGCGUUCGUGCGAACGAAUUUAGUGAGGAGAGCGUUGUAGCCGCCUGCGCGCGUGCCUCUGCGCGUACAUGCAUGCAUGUGUCUUCUCGGGUGAGUCUGCGCCUGGGCCUUUUCCCCUUUCUCAUGCGGCGGGCUGUUGACCCAAGGAAAGGAGAGCCACUGCCGCUGCCGACACUGUGCGUCCGUGACGUCGGUGCGUGAGAGGGUGGGGCAGUCUUCAGCGCACUUCGCCAACCACUUUCUCCUCACCGUUGCUGACGCGGACAAC